GCCAGGCACAGUGGCUUAUGCCUGUAAUCCCAGCACUUUGGGAGGCUGAGGUGGGAGGAUUGCUUGAGCCCAGGAAGCUGAGGCUGCAGUGAGCCAUGAUCACACCGCUGCACUCCAGCCUGGGUGACAGAGCAAGAUCCUGUCUCAA
Unclassified non-coding RNA from Macaca fascicularis (crab-eating macaque), 148 nucleotides. It matches the Rfam family "Metazoan signal recognition particle RNA". Rfam says of the family: The signal recognition particle (SRP) is a universally conserved ribonucleoprotein. It is involved in the co-translational targeting of proteins to membranes. The record is from Ensembl. NCBI's taxonomy places the organism in Eukaryota, Metazoa, Chordata, Mammalia, Primates, Cercopithecidae.